This 497-nucleotide ribosomal RNA is filed under the name uncultured bacterium. RNAcentral describes it as "partial 16S ribosomal RNA". It matches the Rfam family "Bacterial small subunit ribosomal RNA", at positions 28 to 507 of the family's 1533-position model. The record is from RNAcentral.
GAUGAACGCUGGCGGCGUGCCUAAUACAUGCAAGUCGAGCGAACAGACGAGGAGCUUGCUCCUCUGACGUUAGCGGCGGACGGGUGAGUAACACGUGGAUAACCUACCUAUAAGACUGGGAUAACUUCGGGAAACCGGAGCUAAUACCGGAUAAUAUAUUGAGCCGCAUGGUUCAAUAGUGAAAGACGGUUUUGCUGUCACUUAUAGAUGGAUCCGCGCCGCAUUAGCUAGUUGGUAAGGUAACGGCUUACCAAGGCAACGAUGCGUAGCCGACCUGAGAGGGUGAUCGGCCACACUGGAACUGAGACACGGUCCAGACUCCUACGGGAGGCAGCAGUAGGGAAUCUUCCGCAAUGGGCGAAAGCCUGACGGAGCAACGCCGCGUGAGUGAUGAAGGUCUUCGGAUCGUAAAACUCUGUUAUUAGGGAAGAACAAAUGUGUAAGUAACUAUGCACGUCUUGACGGUACCUAAUCAGAAGGCCACGGCUAACUACGUG